This 444-nucleotide ribosomal RNA is filed under the name uncultured Syntrophus sp. Its description in RNAcentral is "bacterial SSU rRNA". It matches the Rfam family "Bacterial small subunit ribosomal RNA", at positions 933 to 1382 of the family's 1533-position model. The record is from RNAcentral. Lineage: Bacteria; Pseudomonadati; Thermodesulfobacteriota; Syntrophia; Syntrophales; Syntrophaceae.
UGGAUCAUGUUGUUUAAUUCGAUGAUACGCGAAGAACCUUACCAGGUCUUGACAUCCCCUGCAAAGCUAUGGAGACAUAGUGGAGGUUAUCAGGGAGACAGGUGGUGCAUGGUUGUCGUCAGCUCGUGUCGUGAGAUGUUGGGUUAAGUCCCGCAACGAGCGCAACCCUUGUCUUUAAUUGCCAUCAUUGAGUUGGGCACUUUAAAGAGACUGCCGGUGUUAAACCGGAGGAAGGUGGGGAUGACGUCAAGUCCUCAUGGCCUUUAUGCCCAGGGCUACACACGUGCUACAAUGGGUGGUACAAAGAGCAGCCAGCUCGCGAGAGUGAGCAAAUCUCAAAAAGCCAUCCUCAGUUCGGAUUGGAGUCUGCAACUCGACUCCAUGAAGUUGGAAUCGCUAGUAAUCGCGGAUCAGCAUGCCGCGGUGAAUACGUUCCCGGGCCUU